CCCCUGGUGGCUUAGUUGAUAAAGAAUCUGCCUGCAAUGCAGGAAACCCAGGUUCAAUCCCUGGGUUGGGAA
Molecule: transfer RNA, 72 nt
Filed under: Bos taurus (domestic cattle)
Lineage: Eukaryota; Metazoa; Chordata; Mammalia; Artiodactyla; Bovidae
Also listed under: 3 other names
Rfam family: tRNA
About the family: Transfer RNA (tRNA) molecules are approximately 80 nucleotides in length. Their secondary structure includes four short double-helical elements and three loops (D, anti-codon, and T loops).
Source: Rfam by way of RNAcentral